CCCGCACAAGCGGUGGAGCAUGUGGUUUAAUUCGACGCAACGCGAAGAACCUUACCAGGGCUUGACAUCCUCUGACAGCCAUUGAAAGGUGGUUUUCUGGCUUCGGUCAGACAGAGAGACAGGUGGUGCAUGGUUGUCGUCAGCUCGUGUCGUGAGAUGUUGGGUUAAGUCCCGCAACGAGUGCAACCCCUACGUUUAGUUGCUAACGUGUAAAGAUGAGCACUCUAGACGAACUGCCGUUGACAAAACGGAGGAAGGUGGGGAUGACGUCAAAUCAUCAUGCCCCUUAUGUCCUGGGCUACACGCGUGCUACAAUGGCCGGUACAAAGGGACGCAAAGCCGCGAGGUGGAGCAAAUCCGAUAAAAGCCGGUCUCAGUUCGGAUUGCAGGCUGCAAUUCGCCUGCAUGAAGUCGGAAUCGCUAGUAAUCGCAGGUCAGCAUACUGCGGUGAAUACGUUCCCGGGUCUU
Molecule: ribosomal RNA, 468 nt
Filed under: uncultured Cryptanaerobacter sp.
Lineage: Bacteria; Bacillati; Bacillota; Clostridia; Eubacteriales; Desulfotomaculaceae
Description: bacterial SSU rRNA
Rfam family: Bacterial small subunit ribosomal RNA
Source: RNAcentral